GAUUUCAAAGGCUUCUACACCGCUGUCUUGGAAACAAAUGGGGAAAUAGUUUGUGUUGCAGCUCUAAGGUGGUUCCAGAGGGUUUAUGGUAUUGUCCAUAUUGUAUCUGCAAGUUCUGUGGAGAAAUGGAUGAUGAUUUGAUGAACAAAUGCCAUCAAUGUGGCAGGAAAUAUCAUUUGAAGUGCUGUCAAGGGUUGGAAGAAAGAGAACUUGAUCUAAACAUGGUCUCUCAUGAUCUUUACUGUGACCAGAAUUGCAUAGAGUUCAAAUUUCAAUAGAAUUGACUUCAAAGGCUUCUACACCGCUGUCUUAGAAACAAAUGGGGAAAUAGUUUGUGUUGCAGCUC
This is a long non-coding RNA of Ipomoea nil (Japanese morning glory), 346 nucleotides long. RefSeq lists it as uncharacterized. The record is from RefSeq and is a predicted model, not a curated record. NCBI's taxonomy places the organism in Eukaryota, Viridiplantae, Streptophyta, Magnoliopsida, Solanales, Convolvulaceae. The transcript has 4 exons.